AUAUAAAAAAAAAAAAAAGGUAGCGAUCUGUGAUCCUUUUUGUUUCUGAUCCCGAUAUUUUUUUUUAAAC
Molecule: non-coding RNA, 70 nt
Filed under: Platyophrya macrostoma
Lineage: Eukaryota; Ciliophora; Colpodea; Cyrtolophosidida; Platyophryidae
Source: RNAcentral